Molecule: ribosomal RNA, 253 nt
Filed under: uncultured bacterium
Lineage: Bacteria
Description: partial 16S ribosomal RNA
Rfam family: Bacterial small subunit ribosomal RNA
Source: RNAcentral
UACGGAGGGUCCGAGCGUUAUCCGGAAUCAUUGGGUUUAAAGGGUCCGUAGGCGGUUUGGUAAGUCAGUGGUGAAAGCCCAUCGCUCAACGGUGGAACGGCCAUUGAUACUGCUAAACUUGAAUUAUUAGGAAGUAACUAGAAUAUGUAGUGUAGCGGUGAAAUGCUUAGAGAUUACAUGGAAUACCAAUUGCGAAGGCAGGUUACUACUAAUGGAUUGACGCUGAUGGACGAAAGCGUGGGUAGCGAACAGG